RNAcentral lists this long non-coding RNA (420 nucleotides) under Olea europaea subsp. europaea. Lineage: Eukaryota; Viridiplantae; Streptophyta; Magnoliopsida; Lamiales; Oleaceae. The record is from RNAcentral.
GUAAAUCCAAAAAAAAAUUCUUACUUUUUACAACACGUUCUACGUCAAUUUACUAUUCCAAAAUACAUUCAAAAUAACGUGGCUCACACACACACUUCAUAUAAUUCUUCAGUCUAGAAAUUACAGAGAACGACCCUAUUUAUAGUGGAUGUCUGACUUUUAGUUAUUGAAGUCAGUAGAGACAUUGGGACAGUGGUUUCCUUGUUUGUCUUUUGCAGCCUGCUCCAGGCAUGAGAGAUGUUCCAAAGCUCUCCCCGGUAGUUGUUCAUCGCGCUCAUACUGAACCUCUCUCUGGUUUGGCAUUCACCCAAGAAUCCAUUCUCACAGUUGGCCGAGAGGGCCACAUAAAAAUCUGGAUGAGACCAGAACAAAGUUUGCUGAAAACCAAUCAAGUAACUCUGAUUCUUUGAUGAGCACGAG